GACGAACGCUGGCGGCAUACCUAACACAUGCAAGUCGAGCGAGUAGAUCCCUUCGGGGUGAAGCUAGCGGCGGACGGGUGAGUAACACGUGGGCAACCUGCCUCAUAGAGGGGAAUAGCCUUCCGAAAGGAAGAUUAAUACCGCAUAAGAUUGUAGUACCGCAUGGUAUAGCAAUUAAAGGAGCAAUCCGCUAUGAGAUGGGCCCGCGGCGCAUUAGCUAGUUGGUGAGGUAACGGCUCACCAAGGCGACGAUGCGUAGCCGACCUGAGAGGGUGAUCGGCCACAUUGGGACUGAGACACGGCCCAGACUCCGACGGGAGGCAGCAGUGGGGAAUAUUGCACAAUGGGGGAAACCCUGAUGCAGCAAUGCCGCGUGAGUGAUGACGGCCUUCGGGUUGUAAAGCUCUGUCUUCGGGGACGAUAAUGACGGUACCCGAGGAGGAAGCCACGGCUAACUACGUGCCAGCCGCCGCCGUAA
Molecule: ribosomal RNA, 478 nt
Filed under: uncultured bacterium
Lineage: Bacteria
Description: partial 16S ribosomal RNA
Rfam family: Bacterial small subunit ribosomal RNA
Source: RNAcentral